This 788-nucleotide ribosomal RNA is filed under the name uncultured bacterium. Its description in RNAcentral is "bacterial SSU rRNA". It matches the Rfam family "Bacterial small subunit ribosomal RNA", at positions 556 to 1344 of the family's 1533-position model. The record is from RNAcentral.
GGGCGUAAAGCGCGCGUAGGCGGCGUGAUAAGCCGGUUGUGAAAGCCCCGGGCUCAACCUGGGAACGGCAUCCGGAACUGUCGCGCUAGAGUGCAGGAGAGGAAGGUAGAAUUCCCGGUGUAGCGGUGAAAUGCGUAGAGAUCGGGAGGAAUACCAGUGGCGAAGGCGGCCUUCUGGACUGACACUGACGCUGAGGUGCGAAAGCGUGGGUAGCAAACAGGAUUAGAUACCCUGGUAGUCCACGCCGUAAACGAUGUCGACUAGCCGUUGGGCGCCUCGAGUGCUUAGUGGCGAAGUUAACGCGAUGAGUCGACCGCCUGGGGAGUACGGCCGCAAGGUUAAAACUCAAAUGAAUUGACGGGGGCCCGCACAAGCGGUGGAGCAUGUGGUUUAAUUCGAUGCAACGCGAAGAACCUUACCUACCCUUGACAUCCUCGGAAUCCGCCAGAGAUGGUGGAGUGCCUUCGGGAGCCGAGUGACAGGUGCUGCAUGGCUGUCGUCAGCUCGUGUUGUGAAAUGUUGGGUUAAGUCCCGUAACGAGCGCAACCCUUGUCCCUAUUUGCCAGCGAUUCGGUCGGGAACUCUAGGGAGACUGCCGGUGACAAACCGGAGGAAGGUGGGGACGACGUCAAGUCAUCAUGGCCCUUACGGGUAGGGCUACACACGUGCUACAAUGGCAGGUACAAAGGGUCGCAAGACGGCGACGUGGAGCUAAUCCCAGAAAGCCUGCCUCAGUCCGGAUCGGAGUCUGCAACUCGACUCCGUGAAGUCGGAAUCGCUAGUAAUCG